Molecule: ribosomal RNA, 301 nt
Filed under: uncultured bacterium
Lineage: Bacteria
Description: partial 16S ribosomal RNA
Rfam family: Bacterial small subunit ribosomal RNA
Source: RNAcentral
CAGCCGCCGCGGGAAUACAGAGGAUGCAAGCGUUAUCCGGAAUGAUUGGGCGUAAAGCGUCUGUAGGUGGCUUUUCAAGUCCGCCGUCAAAUCCCAGGGCUCAACCCUGGACAGGCGGUGGAAACUACCAAGCUGGAGUACGGUAGGGGCAGAGAGAAUUUCCGGUGUAGCAGUGAAAUGCGUAGAUAUGCGGAGGAACACCGAUGGCGAAGGCAAUCCCCUGGGCCUGCACUGACGCUCAUGCACGAAAGCGUGGGGAGCAAACAGGAUUAGAUACCCCGGUAGUCCCUGUCUCUUAUAC